Molecule: unclassified non-coding RNA, 292 nt
Filed under: Glomeraceae sp.
Lineage: Eukaryota; Fungi; Glomeromycota; Glomeromycetes; Glomerales; Glomeraceae
Description: partial contains 5.8S ribosomal RNA and internal transcribed spacer 2
Rfam family: 5.8S ribosomal RNA (bases 1-71)
Source: RNAcentral
GUGAAUCAUCGAAUUUUUGAACGCAAAUUGCACUUUCUGGUAUUCCGGAGAGUAUGCCUGUUUGAGGGUCAGUUUAAAAAAAAUCAGGGUUGUUUGUUGCUUUCUGUGGGGAGGCACGGAAUUUGGGUCGUUUACCUUUCGGUAAAGUGCUUAAAAUUUUUGAAUGUUUUCUUUCGUAUUUAAUUAUCUGAUGUUAGUUAGAGUUGUGAUAUAGAAUAUUAGGUGUGGUCAUCCUCAUGAUUCGCGCCUAUAAUUUUUCAUCAAAUGAACCUAAAAUCGGUUAGAAUAACCG